UCAGCUGUCUACUACUGCAGUUCAUACAAUGUUGCAGGAACCUAUUCGGCAGGUUACUCUAUUUUCAAACCACAUCUUAAUUCAACUCAAGUAAAAAGUAGGUCUCAAAGAUGAUUGAUAUCCCAGUACACAACCUUUGUACGAGGUUGAUUACAUUUGCCAAUCAUUCAAGUUUGAAACCAUAUCCUAGGAACAGAACAAAUAUCGAACAUACACCGCCGAAAUCGGAUCGGGAAUGCCGCCAGCCGCCGCCACUGCUGCCGCCGACCCAAACGAAUCACGAGUCCGCUCGGCUCGCUGAGGACAAAUGGCGAGAGGGAGAGAAGAAGCCGCAUCUGUUGCCGAUUGAAUCGGAUCGGGGGCGACGACUGAGGGAGCAGCUGCUGCCGUCCGGCUGCUCUCGCGCGAGGCAGUCCAAAUGCCGAGAGGGAGAGAACAGGAUGGAGGAAAACGGCAAGGGGGAGAAC
Molecule: long non-coding RNA, 467 nt
Filed under: Setaria italica (foxtail millet)
Lineage: Eukaryota; Viridiplantae; Streptophyta; Magnoliopsida; Poales; Poaceae
Description: long non-coding RNA (SITA_LNC001551)
Source: RNAcentral